UACGGAGGGUGCAAGCGUUGUUCGGAAUUACUGGGCGUAAAGAGCGUGUAGGCGGCCAUUUAUGUCAGGUGUGAAAGCCCUCGGCCCAACCGAGGAAGUGCGCCUGAAACUGAGUGGCUUGAGUACGAGAGAGGAGGACGGAAUUCCUAGUGUAGAGGUGAAAUUCGUAGAUAUUAGGAAGAACACCGGUGGCGAAAGCGGUUCUCUGGAUCGAUACUGACGCUGAGACGCGAAAGCGUGGGGAGCAAAC
RNAcentral lists this ribosomal RNA (250 nucleotides) under uncultured bacterium. RNAcentral describes it as "partial 16S ribosomal RNA". It matches the Rfam family "Bacterial small subunit ribosomal RNA", at positions 524 to 773 of the family's 1533-position model. The record is from RNAcentral.